RNAcentral lists this unclassified non-coding RNA (407 nucleotides) under Hevea brasiliensis (rubber tree). Lineage: Eukaryota; Viridiplantae; Streptophyta; Magnoliopsida; Malpighiales; Euphorbiaceae. The record is from RNAcentral.
GGGUUGGAAUAUAUAUAUACCUCUCUGUAACAUAGUUUUCUAUCCCCCCCCAUUUGGUCUGAUCGGUCCGACGUUGUUCCCCGGCCACCGGCAAAGGCGGGGAGGAUGAGGAAAAUGAAGAGAAGGGUUAGUUGUAUGUGGAAGUAAGGUCAUGAUGGUUUUAAAACCAUUAGGGCAACUAUGAUCCUUUGGCAGUGUAUCAGUAUGAAUUAUAUUGCUUUACACAGUUCAUGUUACCAUGAUAAUGGGGAAUAUAUGUUUUAUAUGUGAUCUUUAAAUUUGACUUUGUUAUGCUACUGGUAUUAGCUCUUUUCUUGUUUGUUUGUUGAUGAAGAACACGACAGAUGAUUUUCUUGGCUUCAUUAUCAUGGAUCUUGAUUUUUUUUUUUUUUUGAAUAAGAAACAAA